RNAcentral lists this ribosomal RNA (393 nucleotides) under uncultured microorganism. RNAcentral describes it as "bacterial SSU rRNA". It matches the Rfam family "Bacterial small subunit ribosomal RNA", at positions 9 to 402 of the family's 1533-position model. The record is from RNAcentral.
GAGUUUGAUCUUGGCUCAGGACGAACGCUGGCGGCGUGCUUAACACAUGCAAGUCGAACGGUAAGGCUCCAGCUUGCUGGGGUACACGAGUGGCGAACGGGUGAGUAACACGUGGGUGACCUGCCCUGCACUUCGGGGAUAAGCCUGGGAAACUGGGUCUAAUACCGGAUAGGACCGCACCGUGAGGGUGUGGUGGAAAGUUUUUUCGGUGUGGGAUGGGCCCGCGGCCUAUCAGCUUGUUGGUGGGGUAAUGGCCUACCAAGGCGGCGACGGGUAGCCGGCCUGAGAGGGUGGACGGCCACAUUGGGACUGAGACACGGCCCAGACUCCUACGGGAGGCAGCAGUGGGGAAUAUUGCACAAUGGGCGGAAGCCUGAUGCAGCGACGCCGCGU